AAAAUAUUCCUCCUUAAAAAAUGGAGCGUGUUUGAGGCGCCGGUGUUCUGGAGAGGACUGGUGGGCAGCCUUCCAGCUACAGGCAGCAACUAGAUGGAGAGAUCUGAGGCCAUGCUGUUUUGCUAAUCACCAGAUCAUUCAGAAGAUCAGGUUCCAGUUCAGUUUCUGGAGCAGAUAAGAUUCCAUGAGCUGCAUGAAUCUUGGAGAUUCAGAAGAUGGUCUCAGCCGGCAAGAUUGGUCAUGGCCAUUGGCUUUUUCUGAAGCAGCAGUCCAGCGUCAGUCAUCAGCAAAAUGGUGACAAGAGACAGCUUCACUGGCUUUGUGAUCCCUGGAUCUCAUCUAAAUUGACGUUCUUAAAGUCAGCAGUUUCAGUGAUGGCUCCCUGAUUCUCCACCUUCCUGACUGUGGUAGGAGAGCAGUUCCCCUGCUGGGCUCAUUCUGUCGUGUUGUUCUCGAUGCUAUUUCUGGAAGCCUAACUCAGAGCUUUCCAGUCCUUCCAGGAUUGUGCGAACUCCUUGUUUCCU
Molecule: long non-coding RNA, 524 nt
Filed under: Equus caballus (horse)
Lineage: Eukaryota; Metazoa; Chordata; Mammalia; Perissodactyla; Equidae
Description: lncRNA (ENSECAG00000049251.1)
Source: RNAcentral